GGCCUCCAUCUUGAAAACGGAAAAUAAAAACAGCAGACCUAUGAAGGUCGAAGGGGAAGAAAAGCUGUAUCGAUUGUUGAGAUCUGGCGACUUGUUUAAAUUUCAUCAGCCUCACUUCUAUGAACUCUCAGGGUCCUCGUAAGAACUUCCAUUUUAUGUUCUUGUCUUCUCAUCAGUUUGAGUUGUGUCUUUAACAUUGGAGAGAAAAACAACUUGCAAGAUUUUCUUUCAGUAUGAACCAUUCUGAGGUCCUUCAAUUCUUUAGCUGAUUACCAACUCCUACCACUGUUAACCCUCAUCCAGGAACAAGCUUAUGUCUUUAACAUUCUGAGUGGGCUUCAGCAUCCUUGCAUAUGUUCAAUUCUUAAAAACCUGUUGAAAUAAAAGAUCAGGAGACAUAGGAAGGAUGCCAGAAGAGAGCGUGGCCUCACGUGUACCAGCUCUCUGCUCUCCUUUGCCUUGGGACGUUCCAUCCCUGGAAGUUUCCCUGCCCACAUCUUUGUAGAGAGUCCAUUCUCCAAGCUUCAGUGUGUCAUCUGUGAGGACCGUGACCCACCUGGUACAUCGCCUCAGGGCAUUCAUUUCAGGCUCCUUCUAAAUGGCCAAGUACACUCAUGGCCUUGAAUCUUCAUCCACUCAGAGCUCCAUGUGUAUUCUUCCAAGCCAUUGCUCUAUACCCGGAACCGCCUUUUCUUGAACACACCACAGGAUACCUCACCCAUCUGUUCUGUGAAGCAUUCCAAUGACAAUAACCACCUACCAUUUUGUGCUAUUAUACAGUUAUCUCCUUCCCCUUCAUCCUGUUGGUAUUGUGUAUAUUACUUAAGAUGAGCACUCUAGUUCUUUAUUUGCUUGUAAAUUAUAAGUGGUGGUGUGGUUUAUAAACUCAUGAAAAUUAUAUUUCACUUGGGAUGAAACUGGUAGAACCAUUUAUAAUAACAUCAUGUUGUUAUGUGGUAUAUAUAUUAUAUAUAGGUAUAUAUAUACACCAAUAUGAAGAGUGAAUUACAUUGUAGGUAGGGUAAUAGAUUAGCUCAAUUGUUUAGUAUAACGUCAAGCUAUUUGUGGUUCAGGUGUGAGCCCCAUAGGACUAGUUACCUUACUAUUUGCUAUAGUUGAAAACUAUAGCUCUACAAUAAGCGGCUGUUUUAAGAUGAAGAUGGUGUUACACGUAGUAUGGCAGAGACAGAGUGAUAUACUCUAAGGAACAUUGUUCAGCUAAUCAGACCUGGGUUCAAAUUCCAUCACCACUGUUUACUUGCUGUGUGCUUCCAAACAAACCCUGUAAAUCUGUUUUCUAAAAUAAAAAGUUAUGA
This 1316-nucleotide long non-coding RNA is filed under the name Homo sapiens (human). RNAcentral describes it as "testis expressed 41". The record is from RNAcentral. Lineage: Eukaryota; Metazoa; Chordata; Mammalia; Primates; Hominidae.